GGGACGGGUGAGGUGACGGCUGCACCACGUGGUGGACAUGCUUCAUGCCACCGAACCGUAGGCUUCACCUGCUUGCAAGGGUGACAACAGGAGACUCAUGUGCACCAGUUUGCCCUUUCUGGUUCUUCGUGCCCUCACGCAUAAAACGAGAGUGCUGCUACCGCCAGAGAAGUUUAACAGCCUGCCCCCAGUCUCAGAGCCGAUGAAGAGUCUGAACCACUAACAGAUGACAUCACUUGGCCACGGUCACACAGCUUCUGGAGCCCGUGUUCUGUCUUUAUGCAGGAGAAGGAAUACGCAUGGCACUUCUCUAAAGGAAAAACAAGCUGAUGUGAGGGAUUCUUUCAAGAAAGCAAAUUUCAGGGCCACUGCUGAGAUCACCACCCAUUCAGCAAACGUCCCCAACGCGGAAUGCACUUCUGUAUGUCAGCACAAGGAAUGACUGAUGCCACCAUCAUGACCUGCAACCGCCAAGGAAAGGUUAAUUCGUAUUUUGCAAGCUCUGUCUAAUAAGGUGGAGUGAGUAACAAGCUUUAAAAAGAUCUCCAUCAAAAGCAAGUCACCAAAGUGAAACACUCAGAGGAAUUCACCCCUCUCUCUGAAAAGCUUGGCUUCUCCCGGUGACACAUUCUAGAGGACACUUUUUAACCGUUGUCCCCUGUGGAGGGUCUCUGCUGUUAUGUCACCAGUGUUACCAGUGCAUCUGUGAAACAGGAACGAGCAGUCUCCCUCCAUUAUUUCCCCAUAAGCCCUCCCAGAAGAUGGCCAGGGGAGGGGGGAGGGGGAUCACGUGGGGAAGUUCUCUUUCUUCCACUGGUCUCGGUCUGAAAUUCCCCAAAUGCUCAAGGCUCUGCCACACUGGGCAGCAGUUGCCCUGGCGUCCUGCCCGCCUUUGCACAAAGCAAUCAGUGUUGCAGAAAAUGAGGGUCCUGUGACCACUGGGCACCAUCCCCUGCCUGGCAUUUGCGUGGGAGAAGGAACGUCCUUUUUCCCUGACAAUAGAUUCUGGUCACAAACCAGGCUUUUCAGGGAAACAGCUUCCCGUAGAAUGAGUGCCUACAGGUGAGAACUGAGUGGUGCAACAGAAGGAACUUCCUGCGGGAAGCCUGCUAAUGUCACUGGGAGAUCAGUGACAGCCUGUGAGGGCCUCGUGCAGCUUCCCACGCCCUGCCCUCGCUGCCAUCAGCCUGCACCCAGGACCCCUCUCCCCUCACCCUGUUCCUCUCCUUGAAUUUGCUUCAAUGGUGGCCUGUCUGCUCCCUGGCCAUCGUGACAAGUUAGUGGCCUAGAAUUCCAGCCUCACCCCUGAAUGCAGGUGUAACCAUCCUUAUAGUGUUUCUUCCCUGGGUUACUUUACUAAGAAAUCAGCAUCAGUAGAAUACCAUUGGCUAAAUUACAGAGUUUAUUUGGAUUUCCCCACUCUUUCCACGAGUGUCCUUUUUCUGUUCCAGGACACCAUAUUGUAUCACAUCUCGUGUGACCUGUGAAAGUUUCUCUAUUGUUCCUUAUUUUUCGUGACCUUGACACUUACGGGUAUUUUAGUUGAUGUCCCUCAGUUGGAGUUUGUCUGAGGUUUUCUCGUGAUGAGUCCAGGGUUGCGAGUUUUCUGGGAGACUACCACGGAGGUGAAGUGCCCUUGCUCUUUGCACCAUGUCAGGAAGGACGUGACAUCACCAAGACUAAUGGUGAAGUGAACCUUGAUCGCAUGGGUGAGGCUCUGCCAGGAUUCUCCACUGUAAUGUUGCUACUUCUCCCGUUUUAGACUCUACGAGGAGGAGGGGACCCAGAAAACACCCUGGAAUUAUCUUCUGGAGGGCAGUCCCUUGUAGUACAGGCUCCCCCUGCUAGGUGAGUGUCCUGGGAACUCGUCUGUAUCAGCAUAUAAGCUGGCAGUGUGGCGAGAGGCUCCCUAUGGCUUCGGUCCACUUUUUUUAAGACUCCUUGAACCCCUUUGCCCAUUUCAUGAUGGGUGAUUUGUGAGCGCACCUGCCCGCACUUGCACUGAGUGUUCAGCAAUUUUUGACCAAGAGAUGGCACGACCCCCAUGUCCCAUCUUCCGUGUUCACCUAUUCACCUGAUCUCACCCUAGCAACUUUUCUUUGUUUCCUUGAUGAAAAAAAGUCCUCAAAGGGAAACGUUUUGCCGACGUGGAUGAGCUGAACCAAAAAACAGCAGAAGCACCAAAAGGCAUCGAAGUCUGUGGGUUCAAAAACUCUUGAGCAGCGGAGAAGAAUCUCAGUGUGUGUACUGCACCCAGUGGAGAGCACUUGAAAGGUGACUGAAGUUUCAACGUGUAAGAAUAAACACACAAUUUU
Molecule: long non-coding RNA, 2315 nt
Organism: Artibeus jamaicensis (Jamaican fruit-eating bat)
Lineage: Eukaryota; Metazoa; Chordata; Mammalia; Chiroptera; Phyllostomidae
Exons: 3
Source: RefSeq, a predicted model, not a curated record